CGUAGGGUGCGUAGCGUUAAUCGGAAUUACUGGGCGUAAAGCGUGCGCAGGCGGUUUAGUAAGACAGGCGUGAAAUCCCCGGGCUCAACCUGGGAACUGCGCUUGUGACUGCUAAGCUAGAGUACGGCAGAGGGGGUGGAAUUCCACGUGUAGCAGUGAAAUGCGUAGAGAUGUGGAGGAACACCAAUGGCGAAGGCAGCCCCCUGGGUCGAUACUGACGCUCAUGCACGAAAGCGUGGGUAGCAAACAGGAUUAGAUACCCUGGUAGUCCACGCCCUAAACGAUGUCAACUAGGUGUUGGGAGGGUAAAACCUUUUAGUACCGGAGCUAACGCGUGAAGUUGACCGCCUGGGGAGUACGGCCGCAAGGUUA
This 372-nucleotide ribosomal RNA is filed under the name uncultured organism. Its description in RNAcentral is "bacterial SSU rRNA". It matches the Rfam family "Bacterial small subunit ribosomal RNA", at positions 526 to 896 of the family's 1533-position model. The record is from RNAcentral.